UAUGCUUUGUGUUUAAAAUAUUUGUUAUUCGAAAAGAAACAUUUCAAAUUGUUGCAGAAACACACUGAUUUGAAAUGAGCGCUGCACGGCAGUGGUAUAUCUAUAAAACAACAACAACAACAACAACUGAAUCCCCCGAGCAGAAAGCAGCGCGUGCUAUUGAAACUGGAACAAUCAUUUUAAUCGUUCUAGCAAGCUUAUGCGCUUUCUUUGGGCUGUGCUGCUUGCCAUUCCUGGUUGGCAUUUGCUGUGGCCUGGGCUUGUGUGGCACGCAUCAUGCCUACGAGUAUGGCUAAUGCUUUUGAGCUGAAGUCGUCGUUGGCUUUUUUUUGGAUCUUGUGCGACUGCUUACAUUAAUUCAGAAAAUUCAAAUCCGUAGUAGAUCUAGUUGGCUGUGUUUAUAGUUAUAUUUGAGCCUUUCUUCAAAUUUUAUAUCAGAUUAGCAUCGCAUUUUUAAUCAAAAAUUAAACGUAUUUCUCAGUGAAAA
RNAcentral lists this small RNA (487 nucleotides) under Drosophila virilis. Its description in RNAcentral is "GJ27124". Lineage: Eukaryota; Metazoa; Arthropoda; Insecta; Diptera; Drosophilidae. The record is from RNAcentral.